AUUGAACGCUGGCGGCAUGCCUUACACAUGCAAGUCGAACGGUAACAGGUCUUCGGAUGCUGACGAGUGGCGAACGGGUGAGUAAUACAUCGGAACGUGCCCGAUCGUGGGGGAUAACGAGGCGAAAGCUUUGUUAAUACCGCAUACGAUCUAGGGAGGAAAGCGGGGGAUCUUCGGACCUCGGGCGGACGGGGCGGCCGAUGGCAGAUUAGGUAGUUGGUGGGAUAAAAGCUUACCAAGCCGACGAUCUGUAGCUGGUCUGAGAGGAUGAUCAGCCACACUGGGACUGAGACACGGCCCAGACUCCUACGGGAGGCAGCAGUGGGGAAUUUUGGACAAUGGGCGAAAGCCUGAUCCAGCCAUGCCGCGUGCAGGAUGAAGGCCUUCGGGUUGUAAACUGCUUUUGUACGGAACGAAAAGCCUCUUUCUAAUAAAGAGGGGUCAUGACGGUACCGUAAGAAUAAGCACCGGCUAACUACGUG
This 482-nucleotide ribosomal RNA is filed under the name uncultured bacterium. Its description in RNAcentral is "partial 16S ribosomal RNA". It matches the Rfam family "Bacterial small subunit ribosomal RNA", at positions 30 to 507 of the family's 1533-position model. The record is from RNAcentral.